GGAAUCUUGCGCAAUGGGCGAAAGCCUGACGCAGCAACGCCGCGUGCGGGAAGAAGGCUUUCGGGCUGUAAACCGCUUUCGGGAGGGAAGAUGGAAUGGGGUAACCCAUUCGGACGGUACCUCCAGAAGCAGCCACGGCUAACUUCGUGCCAGCAGCCGCGGUAAUACGAAGGUGGCAAGCGUUAUUCGGAUUUACUGGGCGUACAGGGAGCGUANGCGGUUCGGUAANCCCUUUGUGAAAUCUCCAGGCUUAACCUGGAAAAGUCGGAGGGGACUGCCGGGCUAGAGGACGGGAGAGGAGCGCGGAAUUCCCGGUGUAGCGGUGAAAUGCGUAGAGAUCGGGAGGAAGGCCGGUGGCGAAGGCGGCGCUCUGGAACGUUUCUGACGCUGAGGCUCGAAAGCGUGGGGAGCAAACAGGAUUAGAUACCCUGGUAGUCCACGCCUUAAACUAUGAAUACUAAGUGUCGGCAGUUUACUGCCGGUGCCGCAGCUAACGCAUUAAGUAUUCCGCCUGGGAAGUACGGCCGCAAGGUUGAAACUCAAAUGAAUUGACGG
RNAcentral lists this ribosomal RNA (555 nucleotides) under uncultured bacterium. RNAcentral's name for it is "bacterial SSU rRNA". It matches the Rfam family "Bacterial small subunit ribosomal RNA", at positions 358 to 916 of the family's 1533-position model. The record is from RNAcentral.